Molecule: ribosomal RNA, 419 nt
Filed under: bacterium
Lineage: Bacteria
Description: partial 16S ribosomal RNA
Rfam family: Bacterial small subunit ribosomal RNA
Source: RNAcentral
UGGGGGAUAUUGCACAAUGGGCGAAAGCCUGAUGCAGCGACGCCGCGUGGGGGAUGAAGGCCUUCGGGUUGUAAACUUCUUUUGCUCUGAACAAGGCAUGCUAAUGGGUGUGUUGAGUGUAGGGGUUGAUUAGCGCCGGCUAACUACGUGCCAGCAGCCGCGGUAAUACGUAGGGCGCGAGCGUUGUCCGGAAUUAUUGGACGUAAAGGGCUUGUAGGUGGCUGGUUGCGUCUGUCGUGAAAGCUCAUGGCUUAACUGUGGGUUUGCGGUGGGUACGGGCUGGCUUGAGUGCAGUAGGGGAGGCUGGAAUUCCUGGUGUAGCGGUGGAAUGCGCAGAUAUCAGGAGGAAUACCGGUGGCGAAGGCGGGUCUCUGGGCUGUUACUGACACUGAGGAGCGAAAGCAUGGGGAGCGAACAGG